GGUGUCAAACCGGAGGAAGGUGGGGAUGACGUCAAGUCAUCAUGCCCCUUAUGUCCAGGGCUUCACGCAUGCUACAAUGGCUGGUACAGAGAGUGGCGAGCCUGUGAGGGUGAGCGAAUCUCGGAAAGCCGGUCUCAGUUCGGAUUGGGGUCUGCAACUCGACCUCAUGAAGUCGGAGUCGCUAGUAAUCGCAGAUCAGCAACGCUGCGGUGAAUACGUUCCCGGGGCUUGUACACACCGCCCGUCAAGUCAUGAAAGUUGGUAACACCC
Molecule: ribosomal RNA, 270 nt
Filed under: uncultured Phaeocystis
Lineage: Eukaryota; Haptophyta; Phaeocystales; Phaeocystaceae
Description: partial Bacterial small subunit ribosomal RNA
Rfam family: Bacterial small subunit ribosomal RNA
Source: RNAcentral